RNAcentral lists this ribosomal RNA (206 nucleotides) under uncultured bacterium. RNAcentral's name for it is "partial 16S ribosomal RNA". It matches the Rfam family "Bacterial small subunit ribosomal RNA", at positions 568 to 774 of the family's 1533-position model. The record is from RNAcentral.
CAUGUAGGCGGUUGUUUAAGUCUGAUGUGAAGCCCUGGGCUCAACCCAGGAAGUGCAUUGGAUACUGGAUAACUUGAGUACGGGAGAGGAAAGUGGAAUUUCGAGUGUAGGGGUGAAAUCCGUAGAUAUUCGAAGGAACACCAGUGGCGAAGGCGGCCUUCUGGACCGAUACUGACGCUGAGAUGCGAAAGCGUGGGGAGCAAACA